Molecule: transfer RNA, 76 nt
Filed under: Staphylococcus saprophyticus
Lineage: Bacteria; Bacillati; Bacillota; Bacilli; Caryophanales; Staphylococcaceae
Description: tRNA-Val
Rfam family: tRNA
About the family: Transfer RNA (tRNA) molecules are approximately 80 nucleotides in length. Their secondary structure includes four short double-helical elements and three loops (D, anti-codon, and T loops).
Source: RNAcentral
GGAGGAUUAGCUCAGCUGGGAGAGCAUCUGCCUUACAAGCAGAGGGUCGGCGGUUCGAACCCGUCCUCCUCCACCA